CUACGGGUCGCUGCAGUGGGGAAUAUUGGACAAUGGGCGAAAGCCUGAUCCAGCCAUGCCGCGUGAGUGAUGAAGGCCCUAGGGUUGUAAAGCUCUUUCGCCAGGGACGAUAAUGACGGUACCUGGAUAAGAAGCCCCGGCUAACUUCGUGCCAGCAGCCGCGGUAAUACGAAGGGGGCUAGCGUUGUUCGGAUUUACUGGGCGUAAAGCGCACGUAGGCGGAUUUUUAAGUCAGGGGUGAAAUCCCGAGGCUCAACCUCGGAACUGCCUUUGAUACUGGAAGUCUCGAGUCCGGGAGAGGUGAGUGGAACUGCGAGUGUAGAGGUGAAAUUCGUAGAUAUUCGCAAGAACACCAGUGGCGAAGGCGGCUCACUGGCCCGGAACUGACGCUGAGGUGCGAAAGCGUGGGGAGCAAACAGGAUUAGAUACCCUUGUAGUC
This 439-nucleotide ribosomal RNA is filed under the name uncultured bacterium. RNAcentral's name for it is "partial 16S ribosomal RNA". It matches the Rfam family "Bacterial small subunit ribosomal RNA", at positions 339 to 795 of the family's 1533-position model. The record is from RNAcentral.